Molecule: ribosomal RNA, 258 nt
Filed under: uncultured bacterium
Lineage: Bacteria
Description: partial 16S ribosomal RNA
Rfam family: Bacterial small subunit ribosomal RNA
Source: RNAcentral
UACGUAGGGUGCAAGCGUUUAAUCGGAAUUACUGGGCGUAAAGCGUGCGUAGGCGGUUUGUUGCGUCGGCUGUGAAAUCCCGAGGCUCAACCUCGGGUCUGCAGUCGAUACGAGCAAACUAGAGUGUUGCAGGGGAGACUGGAAUUCCUGGUGUAGCGGUGAAAUGCGCAGAUAUCAGGAGGAACACCGGUGGCGAAGGCGGGUCUCUGGGCAACAACUGACGCUGGAGGAGCGAAAAGCCGUGGGGGAGCGAACAGG